This 493-nucleotide ribosomal RNA is filed under the name uncultured bacterium. RNAcentral's name for it is "partial 16S ribosomal RNA". It matches the Rfam family "Bacterial small subunit ribosomal RNA", at positions 27 to 507 of the family's 1533-position model. The record is from RNAcentral.
GAUUGAACGCUGGCGGCAUGCUUUACCCAUGCAAGUCGAACGGUAACAGGCCUUCGGGUGCUGACGAGUGGCGAACGGGUGAGUAAUGCAUCGGAACGUACCCAGAGGUGGGGGAUAACGCAGCGAAAGCUGUGCUAAUACCGCAUGUGAUCUGAGGAUGAAAGCGGGGGACCGAGCAGCAAUGUUUGGCCUCGCGCCUUUGGAGCGGCCGAUGUCGGAUUAGCUAGUUGGUGGGGUAAAGGCCUACCAAGGCGACGAUCCGUAGCUGGUCUGAGAGGACGACCAGCCACACUGGGACUGAGACACGGCCCAGACUCCUACGGGAGGCAGCAGUGGGGAAUUUUGGACAAUGGGCGCAAGCCUGAUCCAGCAAUGCCGCGUGCGGGAAGAAGGCCUUCGGGUUGUAAACCGCUUUUGGCAGGAACGAAACGGUGUCCGCUAAUACCGGGCGCUAAUGACGGUACCUGCAGAAUAAGCACCGGCUAACUACGUG